AAUGGGUCAGCGACUUAUAUUCUGUAGCAAGGUUAACCGAAUAGGGGAGCCGAAGGGAAACCGAGUCUUAACCGGGCGUUAAGUUGCAGGGUAUAGACCCGAAACCCGGUGAUCUAGCCAUGGGCAGGUUGAAGGUUGGGUAACACUAACUGGAGGACCGAACCGACUAAUGUUGAAAAAUUAGCGGAUGACUUGUGGCUGGGGGUGAAAGGCCAAUCAAACCGGGAGAUAGCUGGUUCUCCCCGAAAGCUAUUUAGGUAGCGCCUCGUGAAUUCAUCUCCGGGGGUAGAGCACUGUUUCGGCAAGGGGGUCAUCCCGACUUACCAACCCGAUGCAAACUGCGAAUACCGGAGAAUGUUAUCACGGGAGACACACGGCGGGUGCUAACGUCCGUCGUGAAGAGGGAAACAACCCAGACCGCCAGCUAAGGUCCCAAAGUCAUGGUUAAGUGGGAAACGAUGUGGGAAGGCCCAGACAGCCAGGAUGUUGGCUUAGAAGCAGCCAUCAUUUAAAGAAAGCGUAAUAGCUCACUGGUCGAGUCGGCCUGCGCGGAAGAUGUAACGGGGCUAAACCAUGCACCGAAGCUGCGGCAGCGACACUGUGUGUUGUUGGGUAGGGGAGCGU
Molecule: ribosomal RNA, 624 nt
Filed under: Escherichia coli
Lineage: Bacteria; Pseudomonadati; Pseudomonadota; Gammaproteobacteria; Enterobacterales; Enterobacteriaceae
Description: partial 23S ribosomal RNA
Rfam family: Bacterial large subunit ribosomal RNA
Source: RNAcentral